UAGAGUAAAGUAUCAAUCACCGGACGUCAUCAUAUGUCGGACACCGAUAUGGUCAAAACUACAAAAGAUACAGACACCAUUCAAAGACCAUUUUAAAGCUAAUCUGAAAGAAAACGCUGUCCGGUGGUAGCGAUUGUCGGACAAAAACAACAUAAGUUCGGACAGUGCUGAUAUUCUCACCAGUAAGGACUCCUGCGAAAAUGUAAGAACUGAGCACUAUAGCGGAACUCUUUAGCUAGCUGCAGACCAAAAAUGAAGCUCAAACUCCUAUCAGGCUCUGCACUACACUCAGUUGAACUGGUAAAGGUCUAUUUAGAACCAGCAUCUACUAAGGUAUAGCAUUAUCAUUUCAUAAAGUACAAAAUUCAACGUAUAUAGGUAUGUAAUUUAUUGUCUUCAAGAAUAGAACCUCUACCAAUAAUUACUAUAUCUCCACUUCUGUCUUUUCUAACACGUACUGAACAGGGGCGUAACUAGAAAUGUUACGGGAAGGAGGCUUGCGCCCCUGCAAAUUGUUUAACUGGAAACCACACCCAUUAAUUAUUGCGUAGAAGCGCAUGACAAUGCUAUUUACUUGCUUUUCUUCCCUUUUCGUCAUCAACAAGACAGUGAUAGAGCUCAUUUCUGCUUAUUCUAUGUACCUAGUUGGCUGGUUAUCCAGAAGUUAGCUAGCUAGCUAUUAAAAGCGAGUCACAUGAAACUUGAAGUUCAAUAGUACAGGAGGCAAGAGCCUCCUCUGCCUCAUUGCUAGUUACACCCCUGCUGAACAAAAAAGAUGUGAACUUGCACCACUGAAAUUACUAGGAUUGGUCAAAAACAAGUGAAGGGGAGAGUGGCCUUAUGUCAAUCACAACAUCAUGAACAACAUUACAUUGUUAUGUUCCCUACGUUGAGACUCAUUGUUGUACAUGUAGUGUCACUUUGUACUUGGAAAAUUGCUGUAUUGCCAAAUUGUUGGCAUGUCAUGAAUAAUUGAUUAGUAUGCUCAAACAAAUUUAAAUCAUCAUACCUUGAACACUAGCUAUAUAAUAUAGUAUGUAUUAUUAUUUUUGUAAAUGACCAUGUAUGUACAAUAUUUAACCUUGGCAACAUGCUACAUGCAUGUAUACGCUAUUUUUGUUUGAUUCCCGUCAACUACUCCUUGGAUUGAUGUUUCAUUACCUCUACUGUAGAAUAUGACUAUGUACUGACGCCCACUGAAGCUUCUCAUCACUAUGGUAACCUUCCAUCAGCUGACUGUCUAACAAUUGAGAACAGUGCCUAUGGCCUCAAGGAGGAGCAGUUCAACUAUGUGUCCACGCCUACUGAAGCCCCUCAUCACUAUGGCGACCUUCUGUCAGGUGACCCUCUAACAGCUGAGAACAGUGUAUACGGCCUCAGAGAAGAAAAUUAAUGACUACAAACAGACAAUAACUUUUGUUUAAUGGCCGAAUGACUCUCCUGUAUAUUAUAACUGAGCUGAAUUAUGGUAUAUAAUUCUACCAUGCAGUAUAGUGACAACCCAUUAAAUUUUAGUAUUUUAGUGACGUUGAAUCUAUAUUGUGGUAGAAGAAUUUCGUAGUUUUAAUUUUG
Halichondria panicea is the source of this 1572-nucleotide long non-coding RNA. RefSeq lists it as uncharacterized. The record is from RefSeq and is a predicted model, not a curated record. NCBI's taxonomy places the organism in Eukaryota, Metazoa, Porifera, Demospongiae, Suberitida, Halichondriidae. The transcript is spliced from 3 exons.